GUCGCAGGUUCGAAUCCUGCACGACCCACCAAUUUCAGCAUUUAACUCAGAUGCUGAACGUGAAGGAUAACGUUGCGACAGCAACGGCCCGAAGGGCGGGGCGAAGUCGAGUCAUCCUGCACGACCCACCA
RNAcentral lists this small RNA (131 nucleotides) under Klebsiella pneumoniae. Its description in RNAcentral is "partial RtT sRNA". It matches the Rfam family "RtT RNA", at positions 34 to 130 of the family's 130-position model. Rfam says of the family: This family represents a bacterial cis-regulatory element known as RtT RNA. The exact function of RtT is unknown although it is thought that it may be involved in changing the cellular response in relation to amino acid starvation. The record is from RNAcentral. Lineage: Bacteria; Pseudomonadati; Pseudomonadota; Gammaproteobacteria; Enterobacterales; Enterobacteriaceae.